This 232-nucleotide ribosomal RNA is filed under the name uncultured bacterium. RNAcentral's name for it is "partial 16S ribosomal RNA". It matches the Rfam family "Bacterial small subunit ribosomal RNA", at positions 118 to 348 of the family's 1533-position model. The record is from RNAcentral.
UGAGGAACAUGACCUUCGGCGGGGGAGUAGCCGGCCCGACGGCCGGGUAAUACCGCGUACGACCACAUGGGGACAUCCCUGAGUGGUGAAAGCAGCAAUGCGCCGAUGGAGUGCCUCGCGGCCUAUCAGCUAGUUGGUGAGGUAACGGCUCACCAAGGCGACGACGGGUAGCUGGUCUGAGAGGAUGGCCAGCCACAUUGGGACUGAGACACGGCCCAGACUNUACGGGAGG